GUCUGGGGCAGUGCCAGACUGUGCUCUAUAAGAGGCUGCUCUCGGCCGUGCUCUUCCUUUCUGCUCUAUCCUUUCUGAGGGAUGCCGUUGGGUGAUCCCCACUUUCCUUGCUUGCAGUAGUUAUCUCAUAUGGAGGAGGGAGGAGCAUUCCUGCCUCCAAAGCAGGGACACCGGUGCCUUUGGUGCUGGUGCGUAAGGCGUACUUUCUCUGCGGAUGGAGAACGGAGUCCACCAAAGACAAAGUACUGAAGAUGAGUGAUUGAGAAAUAAGUAGCAGCCUCUCUUGUAUGGAAUAGAUUGAAAGGAAUGUUC
Callorhinchus milii (elephant shark) is the source of this 312-nucleotide long non-coding RNA. RefSeq lists it as uncharacterized. NCBI's taxonomy places the organism in Eukaryota, Metazoa, Chordata, Chondrichthyes, Chimaeriformes, Callorhinchidae. The transcript is spliced from 3 exons. The record is from RefSeq and is a predicted model, not a curated record.